CUCAGUCCCAUGAGGACACAUGCUACACUGUAUUUAGGGCCCAUCUGGAUAAUCCAAGGCUUUAUCUGCUGGGCACUGGAACAUAUGGAUGAAAAAAUGCAGUAUGUAACUAUGGGUCCGAGAAGCCUGUGCAACUGCAAGCAAGGCAGCGAGCCCCUCUCCACCGCACUUGCCUCAUCUGUAAAAUGGGUGCCAUAG
Rhinopithecus roxellana (golden snub-nosed monkey) is the source of this 198-nucleotide long non-coding RNA. RefSeq lists it as uncharacterized. Lineage: Eukaryota; Metazoa; Chordata; Mammalia; Primates; Cercopithecidae. The transcript is spliced from 3 exons. The record is from RefSeq and is a predicted model, not a curated record.